GACGAACGCUGGCGGCGUGCCUAAUACAUGCAAGUUGAGCGCUGAAGGUUGGUACUUGUACCAACUGGAUGAGCAGCGAACGGGUGAGUAACGCGUGGGGAAUCUGCCUUUGAGCGGGGGACAACAUUUGGAAACGAAUGCUAAUACCGCAUAAAAACUUUAAACACAAGUUUUAAGUUUGAAAGAUGCAAUUCCAACACUCAAAGAUGAUCCCGCGUUGUAUUAGCUAGUUGGUGAGGUAAAGGCUCACCAAGGCGAUGAUACAUAGCCGACCUGAGAGGGUGAUCGGCCACAUUGGGACUGAGACACGGCCCAAACUCCUACGGGAGGCAGCAGUAGGGAAUCUUCGGCAAUGGACGAAAGUCUGACCGAGCAACGCCGCGUGAGUGAAGAAGGUUUUCGGAUCGUAAAACUCUGUUGGUAGAGAAGAACGUUGGUGAGAGUGGAAAGCUCAUCAAGUGACGGUAACUACCCAGAAAGGGACGGCUAACUACGU
This 496-nucleotide ribosomal RNA is filed under the name uncultured bacterium. Its description in RNAcentral is "partial 16S ribosomal RNA". It matches the Rfam family "Bacterial small subunit ribosomal RNA", at positions 28 to 506 of the family's 1533-position model. The record is from RNAcentral.